CAGUUCUCUUCAGUUGAUCUUGUUUGGACUUGAUCAAAUCAGAGAAACUUUGUACCGAAUCGAACCAGUUUACGUUGCCGAAAGUUAGUGUGGAUUUUGGCCGGUUGAUUGAUUUCCUGAUUUCGGCCUUCGUGAUGGCGGAGGAGGAGGAGGAGGAGGAGAACGGGUCACAUCGUUGCUCCGGCGGGCCAUGCCGGAAGACGGGAAGGGAAGCACCCGGUCUGCGAUCGAGGAAGCGGAUUGAUGUUUAACUUUCCGCGGGAGGUGGCGGUGCGUGCCAUACCCAAGGAGGAGGACAAUGAAACGGCAAGUAAUGGAUGUUUCCCCCAAUGGAACAGAAGGAGGGAGAAAGACCAUUCCCCUUCCCGUCAAGUCUUGGGGAGGUGUACAAUGUUCCGUGUGAAAAGAAAGGUGGAGGAAGACGGCGUUUCUGAUCCGCCGGAGGUUUUUUUUACGAUUUUAACGA
Molecule: long non-coding RNA, 466 nt
Organism: Culex quinquefasciatus (southern house mosquito)
Lineage: Eukaryota; Metazoa; Arthropoda; Insecta; Diptera; Culicidae
Exons: 3
Source: RefSeq, a predicted model, not a curated record